Molecule: ribosomal RNA, 430 nt
Filed under: uncultured bacterium
Lineage: Bacteria
Description: partial 16S ribosomal RNA
Rfam family: Bacterial small subunit ribosomal RNA
Source: RNAcentral
GUGGGGAAUAUUGCACAAUGGGCGCAAGCCUGAUGCAGCAACGCCGCGUGAGGGAUGACGGCCUUGGGGUUGUAAACCUCUUUUAGUAGGGAAGAAGCGAAAGUGACGGUACCUGCAGAAAAAGCACCGGCUAACUACGUGCCAGCAGCCGCGGUAAUACGUAGGGUGCAAGCGUUGUCCGGAAUUAUUGGGCGUAAAGAGCUCGUAGGCGGCUUGUCGCGUCUGCUGUGAAAUCCCGGGGCUCAACCCCGGGCCUGCAGUGGGUACGGGCAGGCUAGAGUGCGGUAGGGGAGAUUGGAAUUCCUGGUGUAGCGGUGGAAUGCGCAGAUAUCAGGAGGAACACCGAUGGCGAAGGCAGAUCUCUGGGCCGCUACUGACGCUGAGGAGCGAAAGCAUGGGGAGCGAACAGGAUUAGAAACCCGUGUAGUCC